Molecule: ribosomal RNA, 482 nt
Filed under: uncultured bacterium
Lineage: Bacteria
Description: partial 16S ribosomal RNA
Rfam family: Bacterial small subunit ribosomal RNA
Source: RNAcentral
GACGAACGCUGGCGGCGUGCCUAACACAUGCAAGUCGAACGGAACUGUUUCGAAAGAUUUCUUCGGAAUGAAUUUGAUUUAGUUUAGUGGCGGACGGGUGAGUAACGCGUGAGUAACCUGCCUUCAAGAGGGGAAUAACAUUCUGAAAAGAAUGCUAAUACCGCAUGACAUAUCGGAACCACAUGGUUUUGAUAUCAAAGAUUUUAUCGCUUGAAGAUGGACUCGCGUCCGAUUAGUUAGUUGGUGAGGUAACGGCUCACCAAGACCGCGAUCGGUAGCCGGACUGAGAGGUUGAACGGCCACAUUGGGACUGAGACACGGCCCGGACUCCUACGGGAGGCAGCAGUGGGGGAUAUUGCGCAAUGGGGGCAACCCUGACGCAGCAACGCCGCGUGAAGGAUGAAGGUUUUCGGAUUGUAAACUUCUUUUAUUAAGGACGAAAAAUGACGGUACUUAAUGAAUAAGCUCCGGCUAACUACGUG